AACGCGAAGAACCUUACCUGGGCUCGAAAUGCUUAUGACCAGUGGUAGAAAUAUCGCCUUCUCGCAAGAGACAUGAGUAUAGGUGCUGCAUGGCUGUCGUCAGCUCGUGCCGUGAGGUGUUGGGUUAAGUCCCGCAACGAGCGCAACCCUUAUUCUUAGUUGCCACCCGCAAGGGGGAACUCUAAGAGGACUGCUCCGGAUAACGGAGAGGAAGGUGGGGAUGACGUCAAGUCAGCAUGGCCUUUAUGUCCAGGGCUACACACGUGUUACAAUGCAUGGUACAGACCGUCGCGAACCCGUGAGGGGGAGCUAAAUCGUAAAAAACCAUGCUCAGUUCGGAUUGCAGUCUGCAACUCGACUGCAUGAAGCCGGAAUCGCUAGUAAUGGCGUAUCAGAACGACGCCGUGAAUACGUUCCCGGGCCUUGUACACACCGUAGAGAC
RNAcentral lists this ribosomal RNA (442 nucleotides) under uncultured bacterium. RNAcentral describes it as "bacterial SSU rRNA". It matches the Rfam family "Bacterial small subunit ribosomal RNA", at positions 958 to 1400 of the family's 1533-position model. The record is from RNAcentral.